Long non-coding RNA from Pan troglodytes (chimpanzee), 583 nucleotides. RefSeq lists it as uncharacterized. The transcript has 3 exons. NCBI's taxonomy places the organism in Eukaryota, Metazoa, Chordata, Mammalia, Primates, Hominidae. The record is from RefSeq and is a predicted model, not a curated record.
AGUCUACAAAACCCCACAGCUCCCAAGAAUUCCCUCACCUGCCUUCUGCCCUUAGGCUCCGGUAGAUUGCAAAUAACCUGCUUUCUUUCUGUUCCCGGGCUGAGUUCGGACCCCUGUCGGAGAGUAAAUCCCAAGUAAGGUACCUGCCGUCGGCAGAUUUGAGCUUUCUUCUUGGACACCUAAUACCCACAGUCCUCCAGGAUAACUUCAGGAAGUGGGUAUUAAUUCUCACUGUAUAAGUGAAGACAUUAAGCACCAGAGUUUAAGUAGCUUGAUCCACUGAAAGAGAUUCAACUGUGUGGAACCUAUACCGCGGAGAAUUGCUUUCUGCCAUUGUUAUUGUCCAGCAGUUGCCGAAUAGCUCUGACCUGAGCAAAGCAGUGAAACGCGGUGCUGUUGAGUGGGUUGCCACUGCACCUUUUUCAACUACUCUAGUCUUGUGGAGAAAACACCCCUUCUAAAUUUUUUCUUCAUUGAAUACUCUCCCUCAGCUCCAGGGUACCAUAUAGAGUUUUCUUGUAUUUUAGAGUUACUGUUUUAUCAAAGUUUACCAGUCUUUUGUACUACAUUUCUCCUGUCUAAA